CCGUAGCUCAGAUGGUACUGCUACUGCCUUAUGAGCGGUAAGUUGUGGGUUCGAGCCCCACAGGUG
RNAcentral lists this transfer RNA (66 nucleotides) under Chattonella subsalsa. Lineage: Eukaryota; Raphidophyceae; Chattonellales; Chattonellaceae. The record is from RNAcentral.